Long non-coding RNA from Osmia bicornis bicornis, 576 nucleotides. RefSeq lists it as uncharacterized. The transcript is spliced from 4 exons. NCBI's taxonomy places the organism in Eukaryota, Metazoa, Arthropoda, Insecta, Hymenoptera, Megachilidae. The record is from RefSeq and is a predicted model, not a curated record.
AACGAUUAUAAAUCCUUACCUGUGCAUGUUCCUAACGAGCUUACUCAAUCCAUACUUCCACUCGAUGUCGGAUUGUGCCUGUAUCCGUUGCGCAAACACUCGCGGUACGCAUCGAGGAUCUACAUAAGCCAAGUGUGUGUUAUAUCGAUCAUCCGGAUUUUGCGCGGCUUUUCCGCGUGCUCUUCUCUAUACCCGGAUUCUCUCAACUCACGGGAUUCACAAUCGGUGGAUCUUGCGACGAGCCGCGCGAGCGAACACGUGUACGUAACGAAGAAAGGAGUACUAUGUACCGUGCGCAUGCAAGGACCAAGAUCGGACGCUUCGUUGCUUUCCGGAAACACGGUGACGAGAGGAGAACAGGCGAAGCGAUCGUAGUCGAAGAAACAAGGAUUCGAAGGGGGAAUAGAAGAUUCUGACGGUAGCAAGGAACUAUCGAGGAUGAGGAAAUCGUAAAACGGAGAUCGAGACGAAAGGGGGUGGUUCUUUAUCGCCCCUUGACCGAGCAGUACUUCGACCAUCUGGUAAUGACCGUGCGUCGCGGCGAUAUGUAGACCGGUUUUGCCGUACCGAUCCGAG